AAUCAACGCUGGCGGCGUGCCUAACACAUGCAAGUCGAACGCGAGAGGGGCUUCGGCCCCGAUUGAGCGGCGAACGGGUGAGUAACACGUGGGUGACCUACCUUCGAGUGGGGGGAUAACGUCCCGAAAGGGACGCUAAUACCGCAUAACAUUCCGCUUUGAACAAGUGAAAUCAAAGCCGGGGAUCGUAAGACCUGGCGCUUGAAGAGGGGCCCGCGUCCGAUUAGCUAGUUGGUGAGGUAACGCUCACCAAGGCGACGAUCGGUAGCCGGCCUGAGA
Molecule: ribosomal RNA, 279 nt
Filed under: uncultured bacterium
Lineage: Bacteria
Description: partial 16S ribosomal RNA
Rfam family: Bacterial small subunit ribosomal RNA
Source: RNAcentral